CAGUGGACUUGUUGGCCUUUCCUCAGCAAAAUUUGGCAAUUCACUUAGAAAGCAUGAAGUCCGAGUGGGCUAAACAAAACAUGUCUACAGGAGGCCUAGUACGGCCUACAGUACCUUGAUUAUGACCUCUGGAUUCUAGAAGCCUUAGGGAUAUCACAUCACUUGCAAGAGUCAUUAAGGUGUUAGAGAUGAGCCCAAACCAACAAGAGUCAGAGGGGAGAACUUAUCUCAUAUUGGAGGCAUAUUAUACAAUGAAUAAGACUCUCCAGCCAACUCUUCAGUGAUAGCUGGAAAUCAUGAAUUGCAUCUUGAGAAAAGAAAGCUGAGUUUGGCACUCAUACAGGGGUAACCGGAAUCCAAGCCCUGAAAUGACAUUCCCAGGCUGUGGACCAUUCUCUGCUGCUGCUCCCCAAGGACAAGAAAGGAAUGACACUAAUUAAGAGAAAUAGGAGAGCAAGAGAAAAUGAGACCAACAAUAAAGCCAAAGGUCUUUAUUUCAGAGAAGCCUCUCAAGUUUUCU
Fukomys damarensis (Damara mole-rat) is the source of this 520-nucleotide long non-coding RNA. RefSeq lists it as uncharacterized. NCBI's taxonomy places the organism in Eukaryota, Metazoa, Chordata, Mammalia, Rodentia, Bathyergidae. The transcript is spliced from 4 exons. The record is from RefSeq and is a predicted model, not a curated record.